RNAcentral lists this ribosomal RNA (467 nucleotides) under uncultured bacterium. RNAcentral's name for it is "partial 16S ribosomal RNA". It matches the Rfam family "Bacterial small subunit ribosomal RNA", at positions 28 to 507 of the family's 1533-position model. The record is from RNAcentral.
GACGAACGCUGGCGGCGUGCUUAACACAUGCAAGUCGAACGGAAAGGCCCUGCUUUUGUGGGGUGCUCGAGUGGCGAACGGGUGAGUAACACGUGAGUAACCUGCCCUUGACUUUGGGAUAACUUCAGGAAACUGGGGCUAAUACCGGAUAGGAGCUCCUGCUGCAUGGUGGGGGUUGGAAAGUUUCGGCGGUUGGGGAUGGACUCGCGGCUUAUCAGCUUGUUGGUGGGGUAGUGGCUUACCAAGGCUUUGACGGGUAGCCGGCCUGAGAGGGUGACCGGCAAAAUGGGAAAGAGGAAAGGGCCAAAACGACAAGGGGGGGAAGAGGGGGGAAAAUUUGAAAAAGGGGCGGAGACUGAAGGAAGAAACGCCGGGGGGGGGAGGAGGGCUUUGGGGUUGAAAACCGCUUCGCCGGGGAAGGAGGGGGAGGGAAGGUAAAGGGGAAAAAAGCAACGGCUAAAUAAGGG